This 259-nucleotide ribosomal RNA is filed under the name uncultured Coriobacteriales bacterium. RNAcentral's name for it is "partial 16S ribosomal RNA". It matches the Rfam family "Bacterial small subunit ribosomal RNA", at positions 75 to 334 of the family's 1533-position model. The record is from RNAcentral. Lineage: Bacteria; Bacillati; Actinomycetota; Coriobacteriia; Coriobacteriales.
CACCUUCGGGUGUGUAUAAAGUGGCGAACGGCUGAGUAACACGUGGGCAACCUGCCCCUCUCAUUGGGAUAGCCACGGGAAACCGUGGAUAAUACCGAAUACUUCGAGACUUCCGCAUGGAAGACUCGAGAAAGCUCCGGCGGAGUGGGAUGGGCCCGCGGCCUGUUAGCUUGUUGGUGGGGUAACGGCCCACCAAGGCAACGAUCAGUAGGGGUUCUGAGAGGAAGGUCCCCCACAUUGGAACUGAGACACGGUCCAA